UAGACAGGGCUUCAGUGCCUCUCUGGAGGCCAAGUGCAUGGGGAGGCUGGGACUGACUCAGCCUAGAAGAGGGGACCAGCAUGACUGGACAGGUGGUGUGGCACCCCAGAGACUGGGGACAUAUUCCACUGUGGGUGUUGCUCCUGCUGACCUGAUGACCAUCACAGAAGGACAAUGAUUUGCAGCCUUCUCAAGCAGGCUACACGUGGGAGAGUAUUUUCCCUCCCAGUCAUUCUGAGUCUAUGCACACACUCAUUGAUGAUCCUGAAGGGCAGUGUGGUAGAGCAGAAAGAAUGUGGACUGUCAAAGGACAAAGGCCUCAUGAAAGUAUCUAAAGGUCAACUGACCAAGGUUAGAAGGUAUAACUUAACCUGAUCUAAACCCAGGGUUCAUGGAGGGGCUCCUAGGGCUACAUGGGCACCUUGAGUGUGAGAGUCAUUCAGUCAUGUCGGACUUUUUACAACCCCAUGGCGUAUACAGUCCAUGGAAUUCUCCAGGCCAGAAUACUGAGUGGGUAGCCAUUCCCUUCUCCAGGGGAUCUUCCCAACCCAGGGAUCGAACCUAGGUCUCCCUCAUUGCAGGUAGAUUCUUUACCAGCUGACCCACCAGGGAAGCCCCCCAACUGUGUGCAAAUUAUCUCUAUAUGUGCAUUUUUUCCUAGUAACAGCAAUUCUAUUCACAAAGAUGGGAAAGUCUGAAAUGGACAUAAUUGACAAUGGAUUUUGUAAGAUUAUACUAUUCUACAGAAUAGUACAUAUAAUGGUUGGAGGAAAUAAAAUUUAUAAUAAAAAUA
This 793-nucleotide long non-coding RNA is filed under the name Bos taurus (domestic cattle). RNAcentral describes it as "long non-coding RNA NONBTAT022242". The record is from RNAcentral. Lineage: Eukaryota; Metazoa; Chordata; Mammalia; Artiodactyla; Bovidae.